CAUAUACUAUUUCUUUUUAAUUUGUUAUUGAGUUAGGAGGAUUUUAAAUAAUGAAGAAAUUGUGGUAUCAGCUAUUCAUCCUGUGCUGCUUUCUAUGUCAGAGCUGGGCAGCGGUGGUCAAGCAAGAAAAGAAACUGGUAAUAGUGAAUGUGGGAGAUUCAGCUGAAAUGCCAUGUUAUCAAAGCGAUUCCACCUAUUUCUACAUGGCCUGGUAUCAGCAAAAGCCUGGUGGAGGGUUAAAGAUGGUGGUCUCAUCAACUGGAACUAAUGAUUUUAAAAAGGAAAAUGAUUAUGAGACGGAAUGGGACCUCAAAAGGAAUGACACUCACAAUUCUCAGCUAAUUCUGAAAUCUGCAACUAAGGAGGAUCAGGCUGUGUAUUUCUGUGCAGCUAGUCAACACAGAAGCUGAAACCAAUACUGCACCUGGCACUAAAUGUCAACCGUACACAAGCCUGUUCACAUGUUAAUCCUGCCAUCAUUCCCAGUACAAAAUACUGACUUCAUCCUGACCUGAUAAUCAUUUUGCCAACAAAUUAGAUUUUUACGGGGUCAGGCCAAUAAAAUACCAACCAAACUCUAUACUUUAAUAAUCUUAAGGCCGGGUUCACAUAUGUGUGAUUGCGGUUUACAGCCUGGGUUCCGAUGCGUUUCUGCUCACUGGUUUAGGUGCAAAUCUGAACUAAACCCAAAAACUCACUGGACCUGUUUGGAAACUGCACUGUGGCCGCCCCAGACUUGUGUAAACACGCUCCAUUAAGAGCCGGUCACAUUCACAUGUCAUGCAAAUUGGAUGCG
Non-coding RNA from Rana temporaria (common frog), 796 nucleotides. NCBI's taxonomy places the organism in Eukaryota, Metazoa, Chordata, Amphibia, Anura, Ranidae. The record is from the annotation of a RefSeq genome assembly.